RNAcentral lists this ribosomal RNA (617 nucleotides) under uncultured bacterium. RNAcentral's name for it is "bacterial SSU rRNA". It matches the Rfam family "Bacterial small subunit ribosomal RNA", at positions 1 to 632 of the family's 1533-position model. The record is from RNAcentral.
CUUAUUGAUCAUGGCUCAGAAUCACGGUGGUUAACGUGCCUAACACAUGCAAGUCGAGCGAGAAAGGGUAGCAAUACUCCGAGUACAUCGGCGCACGGGUGAGUAACACGUGGGUAAUCUGCCUCGAAGUGGGGAAUAACACCGGGAAACCGGUGCUAAUACCGCAUAAUCUGGCGAAGUCUGCGGUUUUUGUCAGCAAAGGAGCAAUUCGCUUUGAGAGGAGCCCGCGGCUGAUUAGCUAGUUGGUGAGGUAAUGGCUCACCAAGGCUACGAUCAGUAGCCGGUCUGAGAGGACGGUCGGCCACACUGGAACUGAGACACGGUCCAGACUCCUACGGGAGGCAGCAGUGGGGAAUUUUUGGCAAUGGGGGCAACCCUGACCAAGCAACGCCGCGUGGGUAGAUGAAGUCUCUUGGGACGUAAAACCCUUUCGACGGGGACGAAACCGCAAGGUUGACGGUACCCGUAGAAGAAGCCCCGGCUAACUCCGUGCCAGCAGCCGCGGUAAUACGGGGGGGGCAAGCGUUGUUCGGAAUUACUGGGCGUAAAGGGCGCGUAGUGGCUUGCUAUAGUCGGAUGUGAAAACUCUGGGCUCAACCCAGAGCCUGCAUCCGAAA